This 431-nucleotide long non-coding RNA is filed under the name Lactuca sativa (garden lettuce). RNAcentral's name for it is "long non-coding RNA (LSAT_LNC005479)". Lineage: Eukaryota; Viridiplantae; Streptophyta; Magnoliopsida; Asterales; Asteraceae. The record is from RNAcentral.
UACAGAAUCCCCCACGCAAAUCCCCAUCUCACUUCUUGGCCUUCUUUGCAGCGGUUUUCUUUACCCCAACUUUCUUCACCGGUGAUUUGAUACUUUUCGCUUUCUUCGCUGGAGUGGCUUUCUUGACAGCCUUCUUAGCUUUAACAGGUGUCUUCGCCUUUGCCUUUGGCUUCGGUUUCACUGAAGCGGCGGCUUUCGCUUUAGGGGCGGUAGCCUUCUUCGCCACCGGAGCUUUCUUAACAGCGACCUUUUUAGCGGCGGCUGGAGCUUUCUUCACGGUAGGCUUCUUCUCGACAGCUCCAAGCUUAAAUGAGCUCUUAACCUUGGUAAGCUUUCCAGAUGCAGCAAGUUUCUUCAACUGAACAGACAUAAGCUUUUUGAAAUUCGCCGGCAAAUCCUUGUUGUUGUCCUCGAUAUGUUUCGCGAUGGCG